RNAcentral lists this transfer RNA (84 nucleotides) under Escherichia coli. RNAcentral's name for it is "tRNA-Gly". Lineage: Bacteria; Pseudomonadati; Pseudomonadota; Gammaproteobacteria; Enterobacterales; Enterobacteriaceae. The record is from RNAcentral.
GGGAAUAGCUCAGUUGGUAGAGCACGACCUUGCCAAGGUCGGGGUCGCGAGUUAAAUUAUGCGUGGCAGUCUCCUUUCGGUCCA